Molecule: long non-coding RNA, 1951 nt
Organism: Schistocerca cancellata (South American locust)
Lineage: Eukaryota; Metazoa; Arthropoda; Insecta; Orthoptera; Acrididae
Exons: 4
Source: RefSeq, a predicted model, not a curated record
UGCACGAGAUACCUGUUGUGCCAAGACUCCAUGGGGAAGUGACCAGGUUGGGAUGAAUUUGAGCUGCAGUACUACAACUGUGAUCCUAAACCGGCUCUGUGGCAGAAAUGGAGGAAAGCAGAUAGGACCAGUACAUGAGCCAUGUCAGAAGAGGGGUGGUAUCAAGAUUGAGAGAAGCAUUAGAGAAGAAACCUGAAGGAUGAAAACAGUUAUACAGAUAAGAUGGAGAGUUUCUUGAAGUUCCAUUUGGAGUCUCAUGGACUACUGAUUGUAUCAAGGAGAAUCCUGAGCAAAAUUUGGGAGUGGAUGAAACUGAGAAUACUGAGAUUAGAGUAUUCUCAGUUUCAUCCGCUUCCAGAUUCAGUUCACAUCGCUGAUAUAUUGCAUGCAAAGAGAGAAAACAUCAUUGGCAUAAAUUGUGGGUUUUCUGGAAAUUAUCAUGUAAGUAAUUUUCCAGUAUUCUUGUACUAUUCCACUUGACUUGGAUUACCACCUAUUAUUUGCUGACUUUUGUGAGUAGAAUAUGAACAGGUCUUGUAACCUACUUCCAGUGACCCCCUCUUGAUAAACUAAAGGUAUAGGGCAUAUGUUGAUACUUUACACAUUGUGAGGCUCCCUCCCUGUAAUUGGAUUAAGACUGCUUCUUGAAUACCGGGUUGCUGUCAUAUUCACUUGGCAUUGGAUUCCCAGUUUUGACUGCACUGUUGGGUAGUUCCACUUCCUAGGUGUGCAUAUCAAAGGAAUGAGGUCUGUAACCAUGUGCCAAAGUAACAUAUGCCCUAUCAAACACCUACUCCCACUACUCCAUAUAAUUAAGUCAGAAAAAUGUCAAGUAAUGUGUCUCGAAACUGGAAACAGUUUCUCAUUAGAAAUUAAAUUUAUUAUACUUUCUCUGCAAAGAAAAUGUCCCUGUGAUGGCUAAAGUUCAAUCACAACACAUUAACAUUGACACAGUUUCAUAAGAUUAUUCAAAUUGGCCAUUUCUUUUAGAUUCAGCUUCAUUGCCAUAAAAGUAUCCUACAGUUUCUCAUUUCAUGCAAAACGAACAAGAAUUGGUGAUUUUCGAUGGUGGCAGUUACUUUCCACACUUACCUUAUCUCACUCUCCUGAGACCUUCAAGCUAACUACACCAGUUACCUACUGCUGAAUGACUGACUGCCACGCACCAUAUUGGCAGGUGCCAAAACUGCUCCUGUACUCAGAUGAUGGGAGUAUUGCUGUGCAACCUGUGGGCUCCAGUUGGACAAACGUGAGCCUGGGCAAGAUCAGAUACUGUAUCAGUAUCUGUACAUCCCCCAACCAAACAUUUUCCAAAAUGCUCAUUCCUCACAUUUUGGAAAAGAAAAAAUAAUCCCACAGGUAACCUUAAAAUUUCACCAAAAAGGACUCAAAGCCAAAUAUUCCAGUAGAACAAUAAAAAAUAUUUUGAUGAAGUAUGUGAAUAGCAAUGGUGUCCUCUUAAAACAGAAACCAGAAAUUCAUAUAGUGAAAUUUAAAACACAUUCACACUUCCAUUUUUUCGUACCCGUAUAUUAUAAGUUGCUUGUAUCAUAUGAUUUAUAGAAGAAAUCGGAAAUCAAAACCUUAUAAUUCCACGUAGGUAUAAAUUUAUCAGAUAUUUGCAAAACACACUUUGUUGAUACAAAUCCAAACUCUGGUUAUGGUCCAAUUCAGUGUACUUUCAAAUUUGAAAUUUUCAGAUAAGGCAUUCAGAAUUCACUUAGUCAGUUUUAAUCCAUUUUGAGUUAAGCACGUAUUUACAUCUAUAGGAAAACACAUACCGGUUAUCAUAAUGUCACACACUUGAUAAGAAUAAUGAAAAGUAAGCAACAGUGUUUCAAAAUUCCCAAAAUACAUUAUUCUUUCAGGAGAGAUUUGCAUCUGUGUAAAGAGCUAAUGCAUUAGUCUCUUUAUUGAAAAGAAAGCUUAAUUUUCUGUAGUAUUCUGUAAA